UGGUAGCUCAGUUGGUAGAGAAUGAGACUAGUAAUUUCAGGGUCAUGGGUUCGAAUCCCACAUUGAGCAAAA
Non-coding RNA from Podarcis lilfordi (Lilford's wall lizard), 72 nucleotides. Lineage: Eukaryota; Metazoa; Chordata; Lepidosauria; Squamata; Lacertidae. The record is from the annotation of a GenBank genome assembly.